RNAcentral lists this ribosomal RNA (253 nucleotides) under uncultured bacterium. Its description in RNAcentral is "partial 16S ribosomal RNA". It matches the Rfam family "Bacterial small subunit ribosomal RNA", at positions 524 to 776 of the family's 1533-position model. The record is from RNAcentral.
UACAGAGGUCCCAAGCGUUGUUCGGAUUCAUUGGGCGUAAAGGGUGCGUAGGCGGCGCGGUAAGUCGGGUGUGAAAUCUCGGGGCUUAACUCCGAAACUGCAUUCGAUACUGCCGUGCUUGAGGACUGGAGAGGAAGGCGGAAUUCUCGGUGUAGAGGUGAAAUUCGUAGAUAUCGAGAGGAACACCGGUGGCGAAGGCGGCCUUCUGGACAGUGACUGACGCUGAGACGCGAAAGCGUGGGGAGCAAACAGG